Molecule: ribosomal RNA, 468 nt
Filed under: uncultured bacterium
Lineage: Bacteria
Description: partial 16S ribosomal RNA
Rfam family: Bacterial small subunit ribosomal RNA
Source: RNAcentral
GACGAACGCUGGCGGCGUGCUUAACACAUGCAAGUCGAACGGAAAGGCCCUGCUUUUGUGGGGUGCUCGAGUGGCGAACGGGUGAGUAACACGUGAGUAACCUGCCCUUGACUUUGGGAUAACUUCAGGAAACUGGGGCUAAUACCGGAUAGGAGCUCCUGCUGCAUGGUGGGGGUUGGAAAGUUUCGGCGGUUGGGGAUGGACUCGCGGCUUAUCAGCUUGUUGGUGGGGUAGUGGCUUACCAAGGCUUUGACGGGUAGCCGGCCUGAGAGGGUGACCGGCCACCUUGGGACUGAGAUACCGCCCAGACUCCUACGGGAGGCAGCAGUGGGGAAUAUUGCACAAUGGGCGGAGGCCUGAUGCAGCAACGCCGCGUGCGGGAUGACGGCCUUCGGGUUGUAAUCCGCUUCCGCCUGUGACGAAGAGGGAGUGACGGUAAUGGGUAAAGAAGCACCGGCUAACUACGUG